GGUUAAGCGACUAAGCGUACACGGUGGAUGCCCUGGCAGUCAGAGGCGAUGAAGGACGUGCUAAUCUGCGAUAAGCGUCGGUAAGGUGAUAUGAACCGUUAUAACCGGCGAUUUCCGAAUGGGGAAACCCAGUGUGAUUCGUCACACUAUCAUUAACUGAAUCCAUAGGUUAAUGAGGCGAACCGGGGGAACUGAAACAUCUAAGUACCCCGAGGAAAAGAAAUCAACCGAGAUUCCCCCAGUAGCGGCGAGCGAACGGGGAGCAGCCCAGAGCCUGAAUCAGUGUGUGUGUUAGUGGAAGCGUCUGGAAAGGCGUGCGAUACAGGGUGACAGCCCCGUACACAAAAAUGCACAUACUGUGAGCUCGAUGAGUAGGGCGGGACACGUGGUAUCCUGUCUGAAUAUGGGGGGACCAUCCUCCAAGGCUAAAUACUCCUGACUGACCGAUAGUGAACCAGUACCGUGAGGGAAAGGCGAAAAGAACCCCGGCGAGGGGAGUGAAAAAGAACCUGAAACCGUGUACGUACAAGCAGUGGGAGCACGCUUAGGCGUGUGACUGCGUACCUUUUGUAUAAUGGGUCAGCGACUUAUAUUCUGUAGCAAGGUUAACCGAAUAGGGGAGCCGAAGGGAAACCGAGUCUUAACUGGGCGUUAAGUUGCAGGGUAUAGACCCGAAACCCGGUGAUCUAGCCAUGGGCAGGUUGAAGGUUGGGUAACACUAACUGGAGGACCGAACCGACUAAUGUUGAAAAAUUAGCGGAUGACUUGUGGCUGGGGGUGAAAGGCCAAUCAAACCGGGAGAUAGCUGGUUCUCCCCGAAAGCUAUUUAGGUAGCGCCUCGUGAAUUCAUCUCCGGGGGUAGAGCACUGUUUCGGCAAGGGGGUCAUCCCGACUUACCAACCCGAUGCAAACUGCGAAUACCGGAGAAUGUUAUCACGGGAGACACACGGCGGGUGCUAACGUCCGUCGUGAAGAGGGAAACAACCCAGACCGCCAGCUAAGGUCCCAAAGUCAUGGUUAAGUGGGAAACGAUGUGGGAAGGCCCAGACAGCCAGGAUGUUGGCUUAGAAGCAGCCAUCAUUUAAAGAAAGCGUAAUAGCUCACUGGUCGAGUCGGCCUGCGCGGAAGAUGUAAC
This 1135-nucleotide ribosomal RNA is filed under the name Shigella flexneri. RNAcentral describes it as "partial 23S ribosomal RNA". It matches the Rfam family "Bacterial large subunit ribosomal RNA", at positions 1 to 1176 of the family's 2925-position model. The record is from RNAcentral. Lineage: Bacteria; Pseudomonadati; Pseudomonadota; Gammaproteobacteria; Enterobacterales; Enterobacteriaceae.